RNAcentral lists this ribosomal RNA (604 nucleotides) under uncultured Actinomycetes bacterium. Its description in RNAcentral is "bacterial SSU rRNA". It matches the Rfam family "Bacterial small subunit ribosomal RNA", at positions 252 to 866 of the family's 1533-position model. Lineage: Bacteria; Bacillati; Actinomycetota; Actinomycetes. The record is from RNAcentral.
GUGAGGUAAUGGCUCACCAAGGCGACGACGGGUAGCCGGCCUGAGAGGGUGACCGGCCACACUGGGACUGAGACACGGCCCAGACUCCUACGGGAGGCAGCGGUGGGGAAUAUUGCACAAUGGGCGCAAGCCUGAUGCAGCGACGCCGCGUGAGGGAUGACGGCCUUCGGGUUGUAAACCUCUUUCAGCAGGGAAGAAGCGAAAGUGACGGUACCUGCAGAAGAAGCGCCGGCUAACUACGUGCCAGCAGCCGCGGUAAUACGUAGGGCGCGAGCGUUGUCCGGAAUUAUUGGGCGUAGAGAGCUUGUAGGCGGUUUGUUGCGUCUGCUGUGAAAGACCGGGGCUUAACCCCGGUAUUGCAGUGGGUACGGGCAGACUAGAGUGCAGUAGGGGAGACUGGAAUUCCUGGUGUAGCGGUGAAAUGCGCAGAUAUCAGGAGGAACACCGACGGCGAAGGCAGGUCUCUGGGCUGUAACUGACGCUGAGAAGCGAAAGCAUGGGGAGCGAACAGGAUUAGAUACCCUGGUAGUCCAUGCCGUAAACGUUGGGCACUAGGUGUGGGGGACAUUCCACGUUUUCCGCGCCGUAGCUAACGCAUUAAGUG